This 98-nucleotide non-coding RNA is filed under the name unclassified sequences. The record is from Rfam.
ACAAUGAUACUCCCUUACAGUCACAGCUUGAGCGUUAGAAGUGUCGUACGCAAUGAGUAGGGUUGGAUGAGAACCAUGCAAGGGUGAGAUUCCCGUGG